Molecule: ribosomal RNA, 447 nt
Filed under: Triticum aestivum (bread wheat)
Lineage: Eukaryota; Viridiplantae; Streptophyta; Magnoliopsida; Poales; Poaceae
Description: partial small subunit ribosomal RNA
Source: RNAcentral
AUGGGAGACCUUAAUGAUAUCUUGUAUGAUACUGAUGCUUGCAAUGGUAGUGUAAAUUAUUACCGUAUGUCGUCUUUUCGGUCUCUUGUUAAAAACUGUGGGUUUUUUAUUGGUUUUAGUGGACCUGCGUACACUUGGCAUAACAGGCAACACACUUCUAAUCCUAUUUACAGACGCUUGGAUAGAUGUCUUGUUAAUUCUGAUUGGUGUGCGCAUUUUCCUAAUACGAAAGUUCUCAAUUUGCCUAUCAUUCUAAGUGAUCAUGCUCCCAUUCUUAUUUCCACAUAUGGUAACUUUGUUAAGCCAAGGCAAAUGUUUAAAUUUGAAAACUGGUGGUUGCUUGAAAAAGAUUUUAGUAACUUUGCUAGAUCUCCCUGGAAUAAUAGUGCAUCUGCUUCUUUUGUAGCAAAAUCUUCUUCUUUGGCAGGUUCCUUAAAAAUGGUGUAA